GUCAGGACCCCCACGCACAUCAUGCGCUCUGUCAGCUGGUCGGUCAGCAGCCGGUUGCAGACAGUUUGGUUGAUCACCCGGAUUUCUGCUUUCUGCAAGAUGGUGGAUCCGCUGCCUGCAAGGACCAGAAACAGCGAUUCUCCCCGAAAUCCACCUGUCUCUGAUGGUGCUAAACCAGGCAGCCCCGAGAUCUGUCUUCCUGCUGCACAAAGUGUCCCAGCUCCCACCUACCUGAUGCCUUGCAGCUCCAGGAAGCAAUGUGCUGCUGACACCAGCCAGGUCUCUGAGAUGAGUGAAGCUCCACAGACAUGGCCCUGGCUCUUGGCAUGGAGGCUGACCUGCCACGGCCACUCUCCCACAUCUGAGUUCUGCC
Molecule: long non-coding RNA, 373 nt
Organism: Gallus gallus (chicken)
Lineage: Eukaryota; Metazoa; Chordata; Aves; Galliformes; Phasianidae
Exons: 2
Source: RefSeq, a predicted model, not a curated record